This 542-nucleotide ribosomal RNA is filed under the name Citrobacter youngae. Its description in RNAcentral is "partial 23S ribosomal RNA". It matches the Rfam family "Bacterial large subunit ribosomal RNA", at positions 1 to 582 of the family's 2925-position model. RNAcentral also lists the same sequence under 2 other names. The record is from RNAcentral. Lineage: Bacteria; Pseudomonadati; Pseudomonadota; Gammaproteobacteria; Enterobacterales; Enterobacteriaceae.
GGUUAAGCGACUAAGCGUACACGGUGGAUGCCCUGGCAGUCAGAGGCGAUGAAGGACGUGCUAAUCUGCGAUAAGCGUCGGUAAGGUGAUAUGAACCGUUAUAACCGGCGAUUUCCGAAUGGGGAAACCCAGUGUGAUUCGUCACACUAUCAUUACGUGAAUCCAUAGCGUAAUGAAGCGAACCGGGGGAACUGAAACAUCUAAGUACCCCGAGGAAAAGAAAUCAACCGAGAUUCCCCCAGUAGCGGCGAGCGAACGGGGAGCAGCCCAGAGUCUGAAUCAGCUUGUGUGUUAGUGGAACGGUCUGGAAAGUCCGACGGUACAGGGUGAUAGUCCCGUACACCAAAAUGCACAGGUUGUGAACUCGAAGAGUAGGGCGGGACACGUGGUAUCCUGUCUGAAUAUGGGGGGACCAUCCUCCAAGGCUAAAUACUCCUGACUGACCGAUAGUGAACCAGUACCGUGAGGGAAAGGCGAAAAGAACCCCGGCGAGGGGAGUGAAAAAGAACCUGAAACCGUGUACGUACAAGCAGUGGGAGCCU